CUCAAAGGAAUUGACGGGACCCGCACAAGCAGCGGAGCGUGUGGUUUAAUUCGUUGCUACACGAAGGAACCUUUAACCUGGGUUUGACAUAUAGGUUGUAGGGAACUGAAAGGGACCGACCCUUCGGGAGCCUAUACAGGUGUUGCAUGGCUGUCGUCAGCUCGUGUCGUGAGAUGUUCGGUUAAGUCCGCUAACGAGCGCAACCCUCGUCGUAUGUUAUAUGUGUCAUACGAGACUGCCGGUAAAAGCCGGAGGAAGGUGAGGAUGAUGUCAAGUCAGCAUGACCUUUAUAUCCAGGGCUACACACACGCUACAAUGGUCUGUACAAUGGGUAGCCAAGCCGCGAGGCGGAGCCAAUCCUGAAAGCAGGCCUCAGUUCAGAUUGCAGUCUGCAACUCGACUGCAUGAAGCCGGAGUUGCUAGUAACCGCAGGUCAGCAAUACUGCGGUGAAUACGUUCCCGGGUCUU
This 468-nucleotide ribosomal RNA is filed under the name uncultured Anaerolineaceae bacterium. RNAcentral describes it as "bacterial SSU rRNA". It matches the Rfam family "Bacterial small subunit ribosomal RNA", at positions 900 to 1382 of the family's 1533-position model. Lineage: Bacteria; Bacillati; Chloroflexota; Anaerolineae; Anaerolineales; Anaerolineaceae. The record is from RNAcentral.